This 261-nucleotide ribosomal RNA is filed under the name uncultured prokaryote. RNAcentral describes it as "partial 16S ribosomal RNA". It matches the Rfam family "Bacterial small subunit ribosomal RNA", at positions 524 to 784 of the family's 1533-position model. The record is from RNAcentral.
UACGGAGGAUCCGAGCGUUAUCCGGAUUUAUUGGGUUUAAAGGGUGCGUAGGCGGCUUUUUAAGUCAGCGGUGAAAUUUUGCAGCUUAACUGUAACAGUGCCGUUGAUACUGGGGAGCUAGGAUUUGGUUGCUGUGGGUGGAAUGUGUGGUGUAGCGGUGAAAUGCUUAAAGAUCACACAGAAUAUCGAUUGCGAAGGCAGCUCACAAAGCCAAGAUUGACGCUGAGGCACGAAAGUGUGGGGAUCAAACAGGAUUAGAUA